GAAAGUACACUUAGGCACAAAGAAAUGUAUGCCACCUAGCUAGUGUCACCACCAUAGAGCCUGGACCCACAGCCAAAGCACUGAACUGCUGUUGAGUAGGAAAAUGAAUCAAAAGAUGCUACUGGCUGUCCUGGAUUACUCGCUCUGAGGAAGCCAGCUACCAUGUCGUAAGAUCCUGAAGCAGCCGUGAGAUGAGGUCCACAUGGUGAGGAACUGAGAGCUCUUGCCAACAGCCAGUAUCAAAGUGCUUGCUAUGAUCAAACCAUAGAACAUUAACUUCAGAAAGAACCUAAUCCCAGCACCAGCAGGUGAUGUGGUGGUUAAGGUGCUGAACUUCCACAUGGUCAACAAUGGUCUUGGGCCUGGAGGCUUAAAAAUCACACCAGAUGGUGGGAAAAGAAUGGAAACAGGGAAAAGAACAGGGAACAACUCCAAUAAUUCAGUCCAGAGAUGCUGCUUGAUGGACCAGAAUGGGAAGAAUGAAGGACAAGCUAGAUUUUCUUCAGAGAAACACAACUAAUAGGUUGAAGGGAAGAUCAAUGAUUUCCACUCCCGGAAGCAGUUACUAUUCACACACUAGGGUGUGGAAAGGGUGAUCUCACACUACUAGGAGGAACACUGAAUAAAUGCCAGAAUGGAGGUAAGAACAACAGAUCACACAACAGAACACACAACAGAACUAACCAACCACAAAAAAAACCGGAAACAAAUACACAACCGGAGUCCAAUUUCAGAGUUUUCUGAGUGAGGGUCACACUGGAUGAGAUUAAUAACCACAAUUACAAUGAGUUUUCACGCGUGUGUGUGUACCAGGAACUGUGUCAAGCCAUCUACAAGCUUCACUAAAUCCAAGAACCCUGGGAAGAAGGUUCGCUCCCCCUUUUUUCAGAUGGGGAAACUGAGACUCAGGGAGAGCCAAGGUCACAUCCUGUAAUUGAGAGAACCGGGAUGUGAACCCAGGAAGUCCUACUCCUGAGCCUGCGCUCAGCGGGCCCCUCCGAGGAGCCAUCCUCGCCUCCUCCAACAUUGACUACACACCCCUCAACACAGGCGUGUGUAUAGUAAUUCCCCAGGAGUCGGACUUGGUGGCCCCGGCGCCGGGAGAACAAAACAAUACUUGUCCGCAGGCAAGUCCGAUCGCCAGCGGCCAAGCCUGGGCCCCAAGGCAGCUGUCCCCUGAGCUUCACUCACAUCGUGAACCCCAAGCCUCCCCGGCGGCGCAGGAAGCGACAAGGCGGCCUCGGGAGCCCAGGAAGGCCCGGCCCGCCGCGUGACCUUGGAUUCGUCGCCCUGCUUCAAGCCUCAGUUUCCCCAUCCCGGCCUUGCGCCUGUGCUGCUGCAGGCCCUCCACACGCCCCCCUCAGCCGCCCAC
Tupaia belangeri chinensis (Chinese tree shrew) is the source of this 1372-nucleotide long non-coding RNA. RefSeq lists it as uncharacterized. The record is from RefSeq and is a predicted model, not a curated record. The transcript has 5 exons. NCBI's taxonomy places the organism in Eukaryota, Metazoa, Chordata, Mammalia, Scandentia, Tupaiidae.